GGCAUGCCUGAUGGGGGCGCCACACUGGAAACGAUUAACAGGAAACACUCUGUUUCGGGCGAUAACUGCAGAGAACCAGAACAACAUACAGGGGUAAUCCAUAGAGAGAAAGCAGAUGGUGCCAGCGACCGAGGCGGAGACAGGCAUCCGGAAGGCCGUGGUGGAUCCAGAGCGACAGAGGAAUGAGAUGGAGCCGGAGAGAAGGAGGAGCCUGACAGAGCCAGUGGAAUGAGAUGGAGCCGGAGGAGUGGAGUCUUGAGGUGGCGAAUGGUCGACGACAGACCAAGGUGGAGUCAGUGGGACGAGGGAGCCCAGUGGAGCUGGUGAACUGACGGGCAACGGUGGAGAGGAGGGAGCUAGAGUCAUGUUGGAGCCACUGAGUCGCAGGGCUGAAAAAAGGUGGCAAAAUUCACCCAAGGACCAUCUCCUGACUCCUGCGCUCUACACUCAUCAUUCAGGCUGGUAUUACAGAAAGCUGAGAGGCAGCAUCCCGUAUAGUUGGUAAGGUUGGUGAUUUCCACGAAUAGUCUUGUAUGAUCCUCGAGGGAAAGGCUUCUCUGCUCCAGCAUGAAAGAGGAAGCAGGCUGGGUCAUUCAUAAUAUGAAAAUAACAACUUACAAAACAGGAAACCAAACGAGGGGAACACACGCCGCCUUUCUUUUUCAAGGUCUGGUCACACAGAGCCCAUGGGGAAUGAAAACAGUCCUCGGGUGUGACACCUGUCACAUGAACUCUGAUUGUGUGUACUGCAUGUGUCAGUUUAUGACACUCCUAUUUUCCUGUUUUUACAUUAUAUGCAGAAUUUUGCUUGUCAGAAAGAUUUUUAAUGUUACUUUUAAGUUGGGGUAGAAUUAAAUAAAUGCCAAAACUCCUAA
Long non-coding RNA from Carassius gibelio (silver crucian carp), 875 nucleotides. RefSeq lists it as uncharacterized. Lineage: Eukaryota; Metazoa; Chordata; Actinopteri; Cypriniformes; Cyprinidae. The record is from RefSeq and is a predicted model, not a curated record. The transcript has 2 exons.